UACGUAGGGUCCGAGCGUUGUCCGGAAUUACUGGGCGUAAAGAGCUCGUAGGUGGUUUGUCGCGUUGUUCGUGAAAACUCACAACUCAACUGUGGGCGUGCGGGCGAUACGGGCAGACUUGAGUACUGCAGGGGAGACUGGAAUUCCUGGUGUAGCGGUGGGAUGCGCAGAUAUCAGGAGGAACACCGGUGGCGAAGGCGGGUCUCUGGGCAGUAACUGACGCUGAGGAGCGAAAGCGUGGGGAGCGAACAGG
RNAcentral lists this ribosomal RNA (253 nucleotides) under uncultured bacterium. RNAcentral describes it as "partial 16S ribosomal RNA". It matches the Rfam family "Bacterial small subunit ribosomal RNA", at positions 524 to 776 of the family's 1533-position model. The record is from RNAcentral.